AUGACCCACAGGGCCGCCUCGGAGCGCUCCCACUCACCCCUGCUUCCCUCUGUGUGUUUCCCUACAGCUCCACACCAUUUGUGGGGUGGGGGAACCCCCAAGUCCCCAAGAGGGUGGCUAUGGCUGGAUUGCCCACCGGUGCUGGGUGCUCCUGGCCCUGUUGCCUGUGUUUCAGGGCUGGGUGAGAUGACCGAGCCUUUGUGCCCACUCAGUCUCCCUUGGGCGGCCUGCUGCACGAUGCCACUGCAGGACGCCAGGGGAUCUCCAAACACAGACGCAACGGGAGCAGGUGAAGGCCUUACAACAAGAAUCAGGGGUUUCCCUGAGAUGAAGGAAUUCUGCCUCAAGACUGCGGCAUCAGCUUCCGCUGCAGUUCCAGCCUGCUCUACAGAUUUUGGGGGCUGCAGGGACACAGAUGCGGUCCCUGUGACAUCCCCGGGGCUGGCUUUGCCUUUGGGGCUACAGGGACCAGUCCACCUCUUUUCCUGCCCACUGCCUGUCUGGGUCACCCUGGCUGUACUGAGUUAGACUGAAGGGGCUAUUGGACAUGGAGGUGGCUUCUGUCCUUCACACUAUAAAUAAUAUUGCCUGGGACAUCAACUGCUUGUUUUUUUUCCUACUAUUAGCACUUUCUAGCAUUAAAGCUGAGCAAUGCUGAUACCAUGUGUCUUCACAGAAUUUUUGGCAUUUCCUUGUCUACCAAGCAAAAGCCUG
This 714-nucleotide long non-coding RNA is filed under the name Capra hircus (goat). Its description in RNAcentral is "lncRNA (ENSCHIG00000004144.1)". Lineage: Eukaryota; Metazoa; Chordata; Mammalia; Artiodactyla; Bovidae. The record is from RNAcentral.